RNAcentral lists this transfer RNA (73 nucleotides) under Ornithorhynchus anatinus (platypus). It matches the Rfam family "tRNA". From Rfam's summary of the family: Transfer RNA (tRNA) molecules are approximately 80 nucleotides in length. Their secondary structure includes four short double-helical elements and three loops (D, anti-codon, and T loops). Further hydrogen bonds mediate the characteristic L-shaped molecular structure. tRNAs have two regions of fundamental functional importance: the anti-codon, which is responsible for specific mRNA codon recognition, and the 3' end, to which the tRNAs corresponding amino acid is attached (by aminoacyl-tRNA synthetases). tRNAs cope with the degeneracy of the genetic code in two manners: having more than one tRNA (with a specific anti-codon) for a particular amino acid; and 'wobble' base-pairing, i.e. permitting non-standard base-pairing at the 3rd anti-codon position. The record is from Rfam by way of RNAcentral. Lineage: Eukaryota; Metazoa; Chordata; Mammalia; Monotremata; Ornithorhynchidae.
AGCAGGGUGGCUUAGCAGGUAGAGCACAGGCUUGGAAGUCAGAUGGAUCUGGGUUCUAAUCCCAGCUCAGCCA